AACAACAAAAAGAAAAAAAAAAAACCACAAAGUUUGGUAUUGAUAACUGCCAUUAUUGGCCGUUAAGUAAUGGACAUUAUUGACGUGAGUACAAAGUCCUUUUUAUUUUGGAGCAAAGCGGUAGAUAGCUUGUUUUCUUUCUAGUUUCUACAUUUCCCUUUUUGUUUCUCUCAAAUUUCCAUUUCAAAUUCUUCAUGUUUUAUAAAUUUUUAUUUCUUGAGCUAAGAUCAUCAAUUAGUGGAGGUUUAUUUGAAGUGAAGGAAAGCAAUUAAUCACACUUCUACAUCCAUAUUUUGCAAAGGGAUAUAUCCAGAUGCCUACUCU
This 324-nucleotide unclassified non-coding RNA is filed under the name Hevea brasiliensis (rubber tree). Lineage: Eukaryota; Viridiplantae; Streptophyta; Magnoliopsida; Malpighiales; Euphorbiaceae. The record is from RNAcentral.